Molecule: ribosomal RNA, 426 nt
Filed under: uncultured bacterium
Lineage: Bacteria
Description: bacterial SSU rRNA
Rfam family: Bacterial small subunit ribosomal RNA
Source: RNAcentral
GUGAGGAAUUUUCCGCAAUGGGCGAAAGCCUGACGGAGCAAUGCCGCGUGAAGGAUGAAGGCCUAUGGGUUGUAAACUUCUUUUCUCAGAAAAGAAUUAUGACGGUAUCUGAGGAAUAAGCAUCGGCUAACUCUGUGCCAGCAGCCGCGGUAAGACAGAGGAUGCAAGCGUUAUCCGGAAUGAUUGGGCGUAAAGCGUCUGUAGGUUGUUUAAAAAGUAUUCUGUCAAAGAUUAGGGCUUAACCCUAGAUAGGCAGAAUAAACUUUUAAGCUAGAGUUUGGUAGAAGCAGAGGGAAUUCCCGGUGGAGCGGUGAAAUGCGUAGAUAUCGGGAGGAACACCAAAGGCGAAGGCACUCUGCUGGGCCAAUACUAACACUGAGAGACGAAAGCGAGGGGAGCAAAUGGGAUUAGAAACCCCGGUAGUCC